Molecule: long non-coding RNA, 887 nt
Filed under: Olea europaea subsp. europaea
Lineage: Eukaryota; Viridiplantae; Streptophyta; Magnoliopsida; Lamiales; Oleaceae
Source: RNAcentral
UCUCAAAUUUUUUUCUUAUGUUUUGAUCGUUAUUCAAAUGAUGAACUGCCGCAAAAUUUCCAAACUCGUGAUGGGAAAAAGUACAAAAAAAUGCUAUGCUAUUACAAAAAUAAAAAAGAAUCAAACUGACCACGGUAUUGUUACAUAAUAACUGUUCCUCUCUACUUCUUUUCCCAUUCCUUCUCAAUGGCUCGAGGAAUUUUCCUCAUUGCUCCUGCUUUAACAGUAAGAAACGGGUAGUUUAAUCUGGUUGUUGGUACAUCUUGGGAUAGAAAGGCAUGCCAACUAUGACAAUGACAAUGUUUCAAUGAUUUUUAAAAUUCAAAAGUGCGUUGUUUUCUUCAUAAAGGGGUAGACAAGUAUUUUAACCUCACAUAAUUAUUGACUCUUCAAAUUGACAAGGUAGUAAUUUAUCAGGUUGAUAAAAUGGCAAAUGAAUUUCGAUGGCUCCAGUAGGCAAGGUGGUGUUGGAGCAUGACACGACCCGUCCCGAAUCAUCCUAAUAGACCCGAUACGUGUCGUGCGCCGAUGGUAGAUACCAGCUAAGUGCUGGACCCACCAUCAAUGCAACUUUGACCUGUUUUGACUAUAAUAUACUUUGUAAAAAUUUUGGCAGAGUACCCCCUGAAUUAUGGACUAAAACCACCUGAAAUAUAUAAUCCAAUAUUCCAAACAGAUGCGUAUAGUUUAAAAUAGGGUACACUGGACCAUAAAAUAUCAACUAUUCAAAUACAACACUAGCAAUUCGACCUUUGCAACAAUUUAUAAAUCCCACUACCCAAAAUGCAUAAUAUAUACAAAACAUGGAACUAAUUUCUGACCAAAAGAAGUGUCUAUCCCAAAAUAUGAACUAUUAAACUGAUAAGAUGAGUCAUACAAUAUUUAAC